This is a long non-coding RNA of Nycticebus coucang (slow loris), 3709 nucleotides long. RefSeq lists it as uncharacterized. The record is from RefSeq and is a predicted model, not a curated record. The transcript is spliced from 3 exons. NCBI's taxonomy places the organism in Eukaryota, Metazoa, Chordata, Mammalia, Primates, Lorisidae.
GUGGAGUGAGAGGGAAGGGGUUAAGGCCUCCCACCCGGACCACAAGGGACAGUAUGGGAUAGGAGAGCCCAGCAUGGGGAGCUGCCAUUUUAUCUUAUGCUCCUUAUGUUACGGGUUUUUUAACCAUGUUCUGCUCUACUUUAAGGCUGCAUGGAGCCAACAUCAUAGGACACAGUGCAGUCUCAAGCAGUUUUAGCCCCUUCUCAUGGACGGCAUGCUGACAGACCAGACUUUCACAGGGCUUCACCCCAGCCCUAAAGGCAGAUGACAUCAAGGCCAGUGGUGCUGGGUGGUUCAGCUUUCUGUGCUCAACACCUGAGAAGGUGGAUGGACACUUGCUCUACACCCCUAAGGGCGUAUUAGUAGUCCUGAAAUUAAACCUAAAUUUGAGUCCACAACACCUGGUCUCCCCCAAAACAGCCAGUAGAAAACUUUGAGUUUUCUACUCAUGUGUGACAUCAACAUCCAACAGAAUAAAGCCAUGUAGGCAGGGCGGUUAUUUAAGAGAAAAGAGACAGACUACGCGACAAGGAGUAGGGCAUAAAAUCAAUUCAUCUUAACUCCGGAACAGCAAAGGGGUCAAAACAUCACUCCUGCAGAAUCCUCCUGGGGUCUGAUUCUGGUCUACUUGCCGUGGGGGCUUUGAACACUGCCCCGGGGGAAACCAGUUUUGUGGAGCCCUUAAGAGCCUACGGAGUUACAAGCAACUGGCAUGUUAGGAGGCAACAAACCAUUUAGUACUUGCACAUCAAGCUGCACACAGGACGUGUGAGGAGCCUGGCUGAGCACAGGGCAGGAGCACAGAGAAGGCUCUGAGGCCUGACACCUGGGAGGCUGGAAGCACCCCAGCCCCCACCCACCAGCUGCCUUCUGCUGCAGAACUCAAGGCCACACUUCAGGGGCGGGAGUGGGGCUGGUGCUGAGACAGAGGCUGCCUGGAUGUGUUCAGGAGAACUGUCAUCAUUUGACCAUAUGUCACAUUUUUUAAAAGUGAUCAAUACUGCUUCUCUGGCUGCCUCAAAUUACCAGUCCCAGUUUAAGCAAAGGUCCAAACAGCCUGACUCCACGCACCAGCUGGCAGAGUGCCACUCUGCCUGAACCUAGUCUGGAUUUGUCUAAUUCAACAAAACAAAACCUUCCCACUGACCAAUCAAAAGAGAUUCUCAAAGUCUCUGACUGGCAGGGUGCAAAAGCCCCCAGGGAGGCUAUUCUUGUCCUGGGCAGGCUGCCCACCGCACAGUGACAAGGUGACCAAGCAACUUCCAGGAAGGCUACUAAGGGACUAGGUACAAAAAAGGGGCCUCCUGUUUUUAUUAUGAAUGAACUGAAAACAGAAUUCAAUAAACAACAAAGAAGCAAGAGAAUGAGGCAAAGCAGAGGGAUCCUGGUGGCGAGCAAGGGCCAGGCACGGUACUUACUACGGCAACAGAUUCUCUGCAGAGGCACACAACACAUGGAGAGAGCAGUUCAAAGUGCUGAUGCUGUGAGCCUCCCUCAUCAACAGAAGCCUGCUCACCCUCCUGGGCCUUCCAGGGCACACUCCAAGAAAGCAGGAGUGUGCUUUCGUCAAACAGGACGAUGGGAGGUGACUAUGACUGGGCUGAUCACAGCCCCAAGGGUUAACGUGUUUGAAUCCGAAUUUCAGAAUAAUUUAACCAAUUCUAGAUGUAAAUGUAAUUUCUUUUUAUAUUCCAAGGACAAUGUGCCAAAGCUGACCCCACAGCGGACUGUGACUGGUGACCUCAGUGACCCGUGGCCUGCCCUGUCCCCUGUGAGGGAGGAGUGGCUCCCUCUCUGCCCAGCCACUCCUUGAUAAGCACCCCAAAGGACCCAAGACCCUCACCCUACUCAACCCCCUCAGUGGCCAUAACCUUACCAUCAUGUUUGUUUUAAUCUCUGAGGUGGGGAGCUUCCUACCAAUAAUUUAAACUUGGCAAGCUGACAUUUAUUUUUAUUUUCUAGAGUGAAAAAUGCUGCUAUGAACCAGAGGAAAAAAUGCAAGCACCAGCCAGGCAUGGUGGCUCAUGCCUAUAGUCCCGGCUACUUGAGAAGUUGAGGCAGGAGGAUCACCUGAGCCCCAAAGUUUGAGGCUGCUGCUGAUGACACCCCAGCACUCUACCAAGGGCACAAAGCCAAGUGUGGUGGCUCACGCCUGUAAUCCUAACACUCUGGGAGGCCGAGUUCAAGACCCACGAGUUCAAGACCCACCUGAUCAAAAUCGAGACUCCUGUCUCUACUAAAAACAGAAAAACUGAGGCAAGAAGAUCACUUGACCCCGAGUUGGAGGUUACUGUGAGCUAUGAUGCCACAGCACUCUAUCCAGGGCAACAGCUUAAGACUCUGUCUCAAAAAAAUAAAAAUAAAAAUAAAAUUUUCCUAAUAGCUUACCAUCAUUCAUCCCAUAUUCUAGAAAAACAGCUAUAAUUACCCUUCUAAACUCACCAGGCUGAGUUUAGAAGUUUAGAAGAUUCCACUCUAAUGGGCGACCUGCCUUCCUAGCAGCCCUGAGUUGGCCGCUACCUGCCUGAAACCAAGUGUCUAUGGAAAACCACUGUCAUGUCUACCUGUGUGAACAAAUGGCCUUAGCUAGGAAAAGGAGCUGACCUUGAACAAGACAGCCUGACUUUUACCUACCAGAGCAGCUGCCUGCUGACUCCAAGGCUGACACUCCAUGGUGAAGGUGACAUACUCCUGACCAAGCCAGGACUUGGUCAGGAGCCCGUUACCUUCUGAGCGUGUUACACAAAAUCUUGUGCCUGGGGAGCUGCUCAGUCUGGGAGCCCUGCUCCACCUAGUGGGCACAGGCAUGCCCACUGUGUGCAUGCACAGCCCCCCCCAUACAAUGUCACAGCUUGGCAAUGAUGAGUGUUGAUGAACCACCCAAAUCUCUUCUCAAGGACACUUUCACAGAAAUACUGAAUAUGUAAGAGAGAUACAUUCCUGUUAAAAAUAACAGACCCAGGUACAGUAGCACAUGCCUAUAAUGGUAGCUCUCUCAGAGGCCAAAGUGGGAGGAUUGCUUGAGGCCAGAAGUUAGAGACCAGCCUGAGCAAAAGCGAGACACCCCCACCCCACCCCAAUCUCUACAAAAAAUAGAAAAAUUAGCCAGGCAUCAUGGCAGGUGCCUGUAGGCUCAGCUACUCAGGAGGCUGAAGCAGGAGGAUUGCCUGAGCCCAGGAAUUUGAGGUUGCUCUGAGUUAUGAUGAUACCACUGCACUCUAGCCAGGGCGACAUGACAAAAGACUGUCUUUUUUUAAAAAGAAUUCAGGCUGACUUUCCCAGUAACUAAUCCAAAUUCGUGAAUCCUUCUGUGAAUGUUCUAAUCACUCCAUGUGGACAGAAAGCUGCUGACAGGAGGACCAGUGUCCGUCCCUACAACCCAAGCCCUGUGGGUGCCAUGAAAGCCCCUCCCUCUGUCCAUUCAGCAGCCUUCACUGCAGCAGCUGGGAAGCGUCCCUGACUGAGCACAUGUUCCUGUCCCCCCAAGUCUUACUACAGUACACAGAUGCCUGGGAGCCCUGUUGUCACCUACUACACACGUCCCUCUGGCUCUUGCCCGAAUGACUAAGUUGAGGAUGUGCACUAACAUGCUGGUCUUAAGUAAAUAUGAGGUUUGUCUUUGACACACAUGGGCUAGCGCCUAGACCACAGAGAAGUCCCUGACCAUUUUUUCUUGCCUUGUGGAGUUGCCCCGUGCCCAGGACUCUGG